RNAcentral lists this long non-coding RNA (304 nucleotides) under Chinchilla lanigera (long-tailed chinchilla). RNAcentral describes it as "lncRNA (ENSCLAG00000025796.1)". Lineage: Eukaryota; Metazoa; Chordata; Mammalia; Rodentia; Chinchillidae. The record is from RNAcentral.
AAAUCAUUCUUAUCUUCCUUCUCUUUUCAGUUCUGGGUCUAUAGCACACCACUGAUGCUGAUGUCAGAAACAACCUUGUCCCUUCCAUCACAGCAAAGGCAUUUCCUGAGUUAUCCAUUGUAAAUCUGACUCCCCCUGAAGUUAAUCUGUUUACUAGGUCAGCAAGCUAUAAACUAGCAUUGAUACCAACAAAUCUCCGGUCAGCCUUCUCAGUCUCUUCCCAGGUAGGACUUUUAAAGUAACAUGACUGUAGCAUCAGAAGUGUUAGGAAUUUCAAAUGGAAUCCUCAUUUAUUGCAGAUAAG